UACGGAGGGUGCAAGCGUUAUCCGGAUUCACUGGGUUUAAAGGGUGCGUAGGCGGGUUGGUAAGUCCGUGGUGAAAUCUCCGAGCUUAACUCGGAAACUGCCGUGGAUACUAUCAAUCUCGAAUAUCGUGGAGGUAAGCGGAAUAUGUCAUGUAGCGGUGAAAUGCUUAGAUAUGACAUAGAACACCAAUUGCGUAGGCAGCUUACUACACGAUCAUUGACGCUGAGGCACGAAAGCGUGGGGAGCAAACAGG
This 253-nucleotide ribosomal RNA is filed under the name uncultured bacterium. RNAcentral's name for it is "partial 16S ribosomal RNA". It matches the Rfam family "Bacterial small subunit ribosomal RNA", at positions 524 to 776 of the family's 1533-position model. The record is from RNAcentral.